UUCUGAUCUUAAAACUCGGAGGCUAUGGCAUACUACGAAUCACAUCAAUUCUUAAUCCCCUAACAGAACACAUAGCCUAUCCUUUCCUUGUACUAUCCCUAUGAGGAAUAAUCAUAACCAGUUCUAUCUGUUUACGCCAAACAGAUCUAAAAUCACUAAUCGCAUACUCCUCAGUCAGCCACAUAGCACUCGUCAUUGCAGCUAUCCUUAUCCAAACCCCUUGAAGUUACAUAGGAGCUACCACCUUAAUAAUUGCCCAUGGCCUUACAUCCUCCAUAUUAUUCUUUUUAGCAAAUUCAAACUACGAACGUAUUCAUAGCCGAACCAUAAUCCUAGCACGAGGCCUACAAAUUUUUUUCCCACUAAUAGCUACCUGAUGACUAUUAGCAUGCCUAACAAACCUCGCCCUACCCCCUACCAUCAACCUGAUCGGAGAACUACUCGUAAUUAUAUCAACUUUCUCAUGAUCAAACCUCACUAUCAUCCUCAUGGGAACAACUAUUGUAAUCACAGCCUUCUACUCCCUAUACAUACUAAUCAUAACACAACGUGGCAAACAUACACCAUAUUAACAACCUUACCCCUACUUUUACA
Molecule: long non-coding RNA, 594 nt
Organism: Aethalodelphis obliquidens (Pacific white-sided dolphin)
Lineage: Eukaryota; Metazoa; Chordata; Mammalia; Artiodactyla; Delphinidae
Exons: 3
Source: RefSeq, a predicted model, not a curated record